GAGACGAUUGAGAUCUCAAGGAGUAACCAGAUUCAACCUCCUCUUCAUCUUCUUUCCUCUUCUUUUCAACUCCAAGUAGCAUACUCCUCAAUUUUCCUGGAGAAAAUCGGCCACCCAGAGGCUUUUGGAUCCUUUCGUAAUCCAUUUCAAGUUGCAAAUUAAGUAAAAACUGGUUAUUUCAUUUGAAUAUAAGCUUUUCGAUCUCGCACCAAAGGGAGAGCGAAAUCAUGUCAUCUCGCUCCGAGUAGCAUCAGAGUAGCCCCGCCAAACAAACACCCACCUCUGCCUUUUUGCUGUGUUUCCUUG
RNAcentral lists this unclassified non-coding RNA (306 nucleotides) under Hevea brasiliensis (rubber tree). The record is from RNAcentral. Lineage: Eukaryota; Viridiplantae; Streptophyta; Magnoliopsida; Malpighiales; Euphorbiaceae.